RNAcentral lists this ribosomal RNA (465 nucleotides) under Vreelandella stevensii. RNAcentral's name for it is "partial 16S ribosomal RNA". It matches the Rfam family "Bacterial small subunit ribosomal RNA", at positions 338 to 795 of the family's 1533-position model. The record is from RNAcentral. Lineage: Bacteria; Pseudomonadati; Pseudomonadota; Gammaproteobacteria; Oceanospirillales; Halomonadaceae.
CCUACGGGGGGCAGCAGUGGGGAAUAUUGGACAAUGGGCGAAAGCCUGAUCCAGCCAUGCCGCGUGUGUGAAGAAGGCCUUCGGGUUGUAAAGCACUUUCAGUGGGGAAGAAAGCCUUGGGGCUAAUACCCUCGAGGAAGGACAUCACCCACAGAAGAAGCACCGGCUAACUCCGUGCCAGCAGCCGCGGUAAUACGGAGGGUGCGAGCGUUAAUCGGAAUUACUGGGCGUAAAGCGCGCGUAGGCGGUCUGAUAAGCCGGUUGUGAAAGCCCCGGGCUCAACCUGGGAACGGCAUCCGGAACUGUCAGGCUAGAGUGCAGGAGAGGAAGGUAGAAUUCCCGGUGUAGCGGUGAAAUGCGUAGAGAUCGGGAGGAAUACCAGUGGCGAAGGCGGCCUUCUGGACUGACACUGACGCUGAGGUGCGAAAGCGUGGGUAGCAAACAGGAUUAGAUAACCCAGUAGUC